Molecule: ribosomal RNA, 438 nt
Filed under: uncultured Citrobacter sp.
Lineage: Bacteria; Pseudomonadati; Pseudomonadota; Gammaproteobacteria; Enterobacterales; Enterobacteriaceae
Description: bacterial SSU rRNA
Rfam family: Bacterial small subunit ribosomal RNA
Source: RNAcentral
GGGGAAUAUUGCACAAUGGGCGCAAGCCUGAUGCAGCCAUGCCGCGUGUAUGAAGAAGGCCUUCGGGUUGUAAAGUACUUUCAGCGAGGAGGAAGGSGAUGUGGUUAAUAACCGCAUUCAUUGACGUUACUCGCAGAAGAAGCACCGGCUAACUCCGUGCCAGCAGCCGCGGUAAUACGGAGGGUGCAAGCGUUAAUCGGAAUUACUGGGCGUAAAGCGCACGCAGGCGGUCUGUCAAGUCGGAUGUGAAAUCCCCGGGCUCAACCUGGGAACUGCAUMCGAAACUGGCAGGCUAGAGUCUUGUAGAGGGGGGUAGAAUUCCAGGUGUAGCGGUGAAAUGCGUAGAGAUCUGGAGGAAUACCGGUGGCGAAGGCGGCCCCCUGGACAAAGACUGACGCUCAGGUGCGAAAGCGUGGGGAGCAAACAGGAUUAGAUACC